This 3153-nucleotide long non-coding RNA is filed under the name Mytilus galloprovincialis (Mediterranean mussel). Lineage: Eukaryota; Metazoa; Mollusca; Bivalvia; Mytilida; Mytilidae. The record is from RNAcentral.
CUUGCAGGAUAUUACUUGUUGGUUUCUGUUUUCACUCAAAUCUACUUUUUAAAAAAGAUAAAAAAAUAUUCAAAUCACCUUAAAAAAAUAUUUCAAAAAAAGUUAGAAAGAUAUAUAUUUUUAAUAAUAUCCAAUGAAAACGGAACACAGGGUAAAACUUAAUACAGUAAUGCUGAUUUUUUUACCUAAUUGUUAUUCAUUUGUCUUAUUGCCUAUGAGAUACUAAAUUGUCCUGUCGAAAAUACUGUCAAAAUUUUUUAGCUUCUACAAUAUUGGGAACUUGGAACAGUUAUGAUUUUGUUUUGGUCCUAAUUUAAACAAACUGAUCCAGAAUAUUUGGAUCAGUGUUUUGUCCUUUGAUUUUGCCAUGUGAUUAUGGACUUUCUGAUUAGAUUUCCUCUGAGUUCAGUAUUUUUGUCAUUUUACUUUUUACAUUGUAAAAGGAGGUUAAUUUGAUAGCAUUUAGUCACUGAAGAGAUGAAAUUCUUUAAUAGCUUAACAAUAGUUUUUUUUCUCUUAUAUAAGAAGAAAAAGAAGAAAAUUAUAUAAAAAUGGUUGAACUUUAGUUUAUCAACAGGGUCCAUUCUAUAUGUAGGAGUAGAUUAAUCUUAUAGCUGUUUAUGUCUAUUCAUAUCCGGGUUUAUAUUCCAUGCUAAAAUUGAUGGGAGGAUUGGAUGCCACAUUAUCUUUUUACUGUAGGUAACAGUGGUCUGUGCAUUUGCAAUUCUGUUACAUUAUGAAAUUAAAAAUAGGGUGUGGGGUAUGAAAAAAGUGUUGUCCAACCAAACCCCCUAUUACUUUUUUUUGGGGAAUAGGGUUCAAAGCAUGCAGUGGUUGAUAAUGUGAAGUAUAAAUGAUAAGUAUGCCCAGAGGUUCGCUUACCGCUAAUCUUUUGUCUAAUAUGUCAACUAUUUAUAUUGUUAUUUAUACUUGUAAAAUUUCAUUGCCUAUUUUACUUCAGAUAAGAUUUAUAUUUUGCAAUUUAAAACUCUAACAUUUAUCACUUCUCUCACACUGUGAGUUAUAUAAUGACAUGUUACAAACUGUUUAUAUCUUGUUAUUGUCUGAAAGUUAACAUUGUUUGUUGAUGGAUGAAUGUUUAUCGUAUUUUAAGAAACUUUUAAGUCAUAGUUUUAAUCAUUGAAAUUAUUAUUUUAACUGUUUUAUAUCAGCUUUUUUAGAUCAUGUUCGUUAUAUGUAAAUGUUUGUUGUAGUAAUAAAAGUACAUGUAUGUGCAAUUAGGUUUCAUAAUAUUAUUUUGUUGAAUUACUUAAUCAUCAUUGAUGAAAAUUAAACAUGGUAUGUACCUUGCUUAUCUUAUCACAAAAAAGGAAAAGUUUUUUUUUAUUUUAGCAAUGUUUUACUUAUCUAACAAGAAUAUGUUUAUAUAUUGUCUUGCAUUCAACAAGUCCAUUUCAUAUAAGACUUAUAAAAAUUGAUGUACUUUUUCAUACAUGUAUUUUUUUAUAUCUCAAAACACCUAACUAUGGUUUAGAAUACAAGCCUACUUGUUACAUUUAGGUUUACAAUUUUUGCAUAUUGCAGUGUAUAAUUUUUCUAAUAAAUUGUUUUAUUUAAACAUUUGUAAAAACUCAUUUACACAUCUAAAUGUCUAAAUGUAUUUUUGUGUGGUAAAUGUGACAUCACAAUAACUAUAUAUCCAUGAUCUGUACUCUGUCCAUGUAUAAAUUUCAUUCAUUUGAUUCAUUCCUAGAAUUAUGCACAUUGCAAUCUUUAUUUCCUAUACAAGCAAUUUAGUUAUUCACAUAUUAUAUAAAACAUUAUAAGAACUCAUCAUAUUUGAUAAUGUUUAGAAAUUGUUCAGUGAUGUUUAUGACUUUUUUGAUAAGGGCAUUGGAAAAACACAUUGCAAUAUUUUUAUUGUAACUAACAUGUUAAAAUGAAAGCAUAUCAGUAAAACAUUUUUAUGAUUCAAUGAAAUAUUUCAAUGAAUCAUUUAAAUACAAAUAAAGAGAUAUGUGGGAUAAGAUACACCUUAUCCCUAUUUGUCCGCCAUUACUGGAUAUCACACAGGUUCCCGUAAAUUUUUGACGUCACAAAACAAAAUAUCUGACGCCACAAUGUAAAAGUGAUUGUUGUAUGCGUCAAAAGUUCAAGUGGCCAGGUCAGCCGGGAUUAGCGAUAAGGUGUAUUCAUCUAAGUAUGUGUUCUUUACAAAGUUCAAGAAAGUGGAAACAUAAGUAAGAGAUAUUUCCAUUUGUACAAGUACAAAUUAUCCAUGUUAAAAUGUUUUAGUAUAAUUUGACUACAUUAUAUGCCUUCAUUAUUGGUAUGCUUAUUAUUAGAUCUUUUAGAUUAUUUAUUUAAAUAGUAAAGAUUUGUUUGAAACUUAACUUUUUCAAAAUUAAUGGUUCUUAAGAUUUUUUAUGUAAAAGAAAUAAGUUACCGUCCUUUUUUUACUUUGUGUAUGUAGAAAGUUCAAUUUAUAAAGAACAUUGCAGAAGAAACAAGCAUUUAUAUAAAAGGUUGUUUUCUUUAAAUAUUUAAAUAACUAUCUACUAAGGACUUUUAUAUGAAAGCUGUGCUCACAUAUUUUGAAAUAUUUUAACUCAUUUAACCAUUUCUUCACUGGAAUUUUCAGCAAUUUUCUGUUUUUUGACAAAAAUGUAUUUGAAGUAUACAUGAAAUUAAUAUUGAAUAUUUAAUAUUGUUCUCUUUGAAAUAAGAAAACAUUGUGAUUUUGAAGUCAUUUAAUGAUCAUCUGAUUUGUAUUGUUUUUACAUAUUUAUGAGCAGAUCUGAAUAUUUUAUACAUAUUCAUUAAAAUACAUUUAUAGAAAAUAAGAAAACUGUUUUAAAAAAUCUUUUAUAGUUAUUUUUUGGCCAGAUGGUUAUGCAUUUUAUAAAACUGCAAAAAUCUGAUUAAUAUGCUUCAUAUGUUUGGGUUUUUUUUUCAAACAAUAGGUAAAGAGAAUAUUUCCUGUGGUUGUUGGUAACCCCUGGGACCAAUUAUGUCAAACCAUAAAUAUAGAAUACUAUUUCUGUUACUUUUGAUCAUGUUUUAGACACUGCAGUAAUAGUAACAUAGGUGUAUGACGGUGCAAUCAUUUUAUUGAUAAUUUAUAUAAGAUUAUGUUGAUGUAUGUAUAUUGAUUGUCAAAUGAAUAAAUCAAAUCAACUCAUAUGAAGAACA